AGCUGUGGUCGCCAGGAGCGGGACGCGGGAGUAGCUGCCCGCGCGCCCGGCUCUGGAGACGGAGGGGCUGCGGUUCCUGCACGUCCCUGUGGGCUCCCCGCUGGCCACCUGCGGCCGGUUCAUGGUCUUCAGCUGCAUCCUGUCGUGCCUGAUUUUUCAGCAGCUUUCCACACGCCCGCGAGCCUUGAGGCAGAGGCAGCUGGACCGCGCCGGCUGCUGUGGGUUAGUGACUGCAAAUCCGGGCUGCUGUUCGGGAAGCUGACGAUGCUGUGAAACAAGAGGCCUUAGCAGCUGCUCGCCUGAAAACGCAGGAAGAGCUCAACGCACAGGCUGCAGCAGCCCUUUGUCUGGCAAAGGAGGUAGAGCCUGCUGCUCCUGCAGACCUGCACGGAGAGGCCCCACAUCUGCCUCAGAGCCCGUAGGGCCAUCUGGUCGACCCAAUGGAUGUAGUCACAGCAGGGAGAAUGGUCCCUUCAAGUCUCCAGAUGGAAACAAAUUCCCACGGAGGUGCCCCCCGAUGAAGGAACACUUGUGAGCUUCCGACCCACCUCAGAGCUCCCCCAGCAUGGCCUGUGCCAGCCCCCCCCACCUCCGCAGUGAGCUGGGGCCCAAUGAGGGGCACUUCUGGUGGGGGCCACCUUCUGACGUCCCGAAGCCACAUGAACCGGACGAUCCUGCGAGUGCAAAGGGCCUCCUGGAGCUCUGCCUGGCUCACCGCAGCCAAAUCCUGUGCUCCCGAAGGAGGGAACCAUGGAAAAGCAUCCGCCACGUGGCGCCUGAGACAACCAGCGCAAAUGUCCCGUGGAUGGGUCCGCCUCUCAGGAUGGCAAGGGUGCACCCACGGCCGCUGAAUCGAUGCACUCAACCUCGGAGCACGUCUCUGACCUGACCGAUGAGGAGCACAGGCCCCGCAAGCAGAGCACCACGUUGGGCAGGAACACGGGCCCAGCCGGGGGCAGAGUGGGCGCUGUCUGCUCCUCCUCUGUGCGGUUAGGGUGCGUCCGAGGAGUGCGUGAGGGCCACGUGCGGAGAGCAGCCGGGAAGGGCUGCAUCCGUCUCGCAGCCCUUUUCAGGUGAAGUAUAGCUUAACCUCGGAGGAGAACCCCCUACACAAAACAGGAAGACCUGUGAGGUGGGGUCACCACAGCCCAAAGCUCAAGCUGGUCAGUGGCUCCCGCUGUGUGUCUGCAGCCGAGCCCCUCUCGCCUGCCCUGGGCUGGUUCUCACCCCCAGAGCGGAUGCCUCCAGUAUCUCUGUGGGAAACACGCUCUCCCCAUUUCCACAGAGCCCCAGUGGGCCCCCCGUGACGGAAGGGCACACACGCUGCUUGCUAGUCGACCGGCCCCAACACCUUAGCUAGAAGUUACAGUACACCGCACCCCCGAACCUACAAUUCCUCCCGAGAACAAAUGAAGCACAGGCCCCUGGGCACUACUGGGGGUGAGCCUGAGAGUGCUGCUGGCCUCCUGGAACUCUCCCCUGGGCACUGGGACCAAACUCCAUCCCUUACCUACUACCGUGUUCCAUUGGCCCGAGGAUGUGAAAUCCAAAGAAAGCACCUUAGCACGACCUAGACCUUUCUACCACCCGUUGCUCCCACUCACAAACUGGACCGUCUGGGGAGAGCCCCGAAAAUUCUGAGAAAUCCAGGGAGUGGGGCCCAGCCCAUCUCACCCACCCAGGGCGGUCUCCCACCUCCGGAUCCAGGCACCUCGGUGGAAAGCACUGUCUUCUCCCGUUCCCCGGGGACCCUCAAUGGGGUCCCUUGAGCAGAGAAGCACAAUCCGUUCACUGGGCAACCAGUCCUGAUGCACCCCCACACCUCAGCCAGAAGUGUUGGCAGGGGCCCCACUACCUCCACCGCCCCCCAUCCCUACAACAAACCUGCAGCUACAAUUCCUCUGAAAAACAGAUGAAGCUCAGACCCCUGGGCGCUACCGGUGUGAGCCUGAGUGCUGCCGGCCUCCUGGAACUCAGCCCUGGGCACUGCGGCCAAAUCCAUCCCUUACCUACUACCAUGUUGUUCCCAUGGACCAAGGAAGUGAAAUCCAAAGAAGGCACCUUAGCAGGGACCUAGACGUCUCUACCACCCGUUGCUCCCACUCACAAAAACCAGGCGGUCUGGGGAGAGGCCUGAAAAUCCUGAGAAAAAUCUACGGCAUGGUUCCCACCUUUCCGGGGCCCAGCCCAUCUCUCACCAGUGUGGAACCAUCUCCCACCUCCGGAUCCAGAUCCAGGCACCUCGGGUGUUUCGUUGGGAAGCACUGACUUCUCCCGUUUCCCGGGGACCCUCAGUGGGAUCCCGCGAGCAGAGAGGCACCAUCCGUUUGCUGGUCAACCGGUUCUGGCGCGCCCCCACACCUCAGCCAGAAGUGCUAGCAACAGCCCCACUACCUUCACCAGCCCCAGCCCUACAAGCCUGCAGCUACAAUCUCCAGAGAACAGGUGAAGCUUGGACUCCUGGGCUCUACCGGGGUGAGCCUGAAAGUUCUGCCGGCCUCCUGGAACUCUCCCCUGGGCACUGGGACCAAAUUCCCUCCCUUAUCUAACUACUGUGUUCCACGGGCCAAGGACGUGAAAUCCGCAGAAGGCACCUUAGCAGGGACCUAGACCUCUCUACCACCCGUUGCUCCCACUCACAAACCAGGCUGUCUGGGGAGAGCCCCGAAAAUUCAGAGAAAAAUCUAGGGAGUGGGACCCAGCCCAUCUCACCCGCCCAGGGCCGUCUCCCACCUCUGGAUCCAGAUCCAGGCACCUCGGGCGUCUCGGUGGGAAGGACUGUCUUCUCCUGUUUCCCGUGGGGCCUCAGUGGGGUCCCGCAAGCAGAGGCACCAUCUGCUUGCUGGUCAACCGGUCCUGGCACACCCCACACCUCAGCCAAAAGGGCUAGCAAUGGCCUCACCACCUCCACUGACUCCGUCCCUACAAACCUGCAGGUAUGAUCUCUGGAGAACAGAUGAAGCGCGGUUCCCUGGGCUCUACCGGGGUGAGCCUGAAAGCACUGCCGGCCUCCUGGAACUCUCCCCUGGGCACUGUGGCCGAGUUCCAUCCCUUAGCUACUACCGGGUUCCACGGGCCGAGGAAAUGAAAUCCGAAGAAAACACCUUAGCAGGGACCUAGACCUCUCUACCACCCGUUGCUCCCACUCACAUCCCGGACCGUCCGGGGAGAGCCCCGAGAAUUUUGAGAGAAAUUUAAGGAGCGGGUCCACACCUUUUCAGGGCCCAGCCCGUCUCACCAGCCCAGGGCGGUCUCCCACCUCCGGAUCCAGAUCCGGGCACCUCGGGCGUCUGGUUGGGAAGCACUGACUUCUCCCCUUUCCCGUGGGGCCUCAGUGGGCUCCCCGCAAGCAGAGAGGCACCAUCCGUUUGCUGGUCAACCUGUCCUGGCGCACCCCACACCGCAGCCAGAAGGGCUAGCAAUGGCCUCACCACCUCCGCCGUCUCCGUCCCUGCAAACCUGCAGCUACAAUCUCCAGAGAACAGAUGAAGCGCGGUUUCCUGGGCUCUACCGCGGUGAGCGUGAAAGCGCUGCCGACCUCCUGGAACUCUGCCUGGGGCACUGUGAUCAAUUCUCUUCCCUCACCGAUUGCCCCGGAGCUCCAGAGGAAGGAGACAAUAUAAAAGCGGCCACCAGGUGGCGCCGGAAAACCGGCGCCGAGGUCAGCGGGACCGACGGGGGCUGGCUGGGGCGCACCGCCGGCCUUCCCGCUCCACUCCUGCCCUGCCUCAUCUCGCUCGCCCCGGAGCUCGUCUCUUGCGAGGUUCCGACCCGCGGAGGGCGUGCAGCCUGGACCCGGGCGUCCACCUCAGAGUUCACCCCCGGCAUGGCGCGACCCUGGCCGCAGAAAGGGGAAUUUGUAAAUGUUUUUUUCAGGAGGCUGCAGGGAUGGGGGCCGACUCCCCACGCAAUUCCCCGGCGGCCGACACGGUUCGAGUAAACUCCCCGGGACACGGGCACGGGCUUCCCGGGGGCGCACGAACGGUUCCCGGGCUCCCGGGAGGACUAACCUGCAGGCAGGUGUGGACUGUCCGACGGAAACCAUGCAACUCCCCGAAGGACAGUAGCGGACUGAGGACUCGUUCUUACUCCAUAAUUGAUACUGAGCGUUACUGGACACCAGACCCUAAUAGUGUUUUUUGCUUUGUUUUGUUUUGUUUUUUUUCU
Molecule: long non-coding RNA, 4167 nt
Organism: Phyllostomus hastatus (greater spear-nosed bat)
Lineage: Eukaryota; Metazoa; Chordata; Mammalia; Chiroptera; Phyllostomidae
Exons: 5
Source: RefSeq, a predicted model, not a curated record